Epinephelus fuscoguttatus (brown-marbled grouper) is the source of this 8225-nucleotide RNA transcript. It is a transcript of the gene named zinc finger, CCHC domain containing 2, with no coding region annotated. The record is from RefSeq and is a predicted model, not a curated record. Lineage: Eukaryota; Metazoa; Chordata; Actinopteri; Perciformes; Serranidae. The transcript is spliced from 14 exons.
AGGUACCGUAGGAAAAAGCUACAGUAGUAUCGUCGCGUCAGAUGAUUAGCUAAUAGUAAAAACACUGUAAAACGACUGGCAGUUCGCUUCUCUUUUCAGCAUUACGAACUGGUGGAAGUUGUCAGUAAUGUAUUUUGGUCCGUCAUUCACACUUUGAAGCCUCUCUCGCAGCGCUGAUAAUGCUGAAAAUGAAGCUACCGAUGAAAACGGGCGAGGAAGGAGGCGACGAAACGGCCGAGGACGACUCAUUGGAUCAGCCGGAGCACCAACAUAUUCCCAGGGCGGCACCUCCUUCCUCGGUGUCCGACGGACUGGAUGAGUCGCCCAGACCCGGUGUGUGUCCAUCCCAGCUGAACAAGGAGACUGUCUUCGAGUGGUUUGGCCUACAUCUAAACCCCGCUAAGCGGAUCGAGUUCAUGUGCGGACUGCUACAUAUGUGCCAAGCACUGGAGCUCCGCUUUUUGGGAUCUUACUUGGAGGAUCUUACAAGGAAAGAUUACCAUGUUUUAAGAGACUUCGAGUUCCGGGCGAAUAGUCCGAGCGAAUUGGGGCUUUUAACGGACGUGAUUGAUCCGGUUGUGAGGUCUAAACUCCUGGUCUGCCUGUCCCUCCUCGGGUCUGACAGCAGGGAAUGUGCUGGAAUACUCUUUCGGAUACUGAGCCAUGUAGACCCGGCCAUGUUCUACAAAAACUAUGACUACUCCCUUCAUCCAUUCAGGGACCCUCACCACCACUCGUUUCACCCGCCGUGUCAGGACGGGAGUGUGUACGGGCGGUCGGAGCAGACCUGCGGCUCGUCGGCUAACGAGCCAGCGGCAGGACCUCUGGAGCAGUUGGCGCUGCUCUUUACCAUGGCCUCUCUGCACCCAGCUCUGCAUUUCCACCAGCGGGAGAUGGUCCGAGGGCAGCUUGACAAAAUAGAGCUUGCCAUGGAGGAGGAGAGACGUCAGAAUCAGCUCAGAAUAAACGCCCAGAUAACGGAGCUGACGGGUCAGAAGGCAGAUUACCUGCUUUCCCCGCCGCUGGGGUUGGGGGAGUGUACGGCCCCCCAUCCUCCAUGUCAGAGCCGCCGCUCCAGCCGCUGGGCAACACAAAGAGAAGCAGUGCAUAUAGAGGGCAUCGUGCUCAGGGGCAUCUCUCGGACCAGAAUAGACAAGGAAUACAACUUUGAGGUGAAGUGGUCAGACUCCUCCUCAAGUUGUGUGACCAAAACCCAUCUGGAACUGGAGAAUUUUCUUCUUAAGCUUCCUAAGGAUCAGUGCACUGAGUCCUUUGAGAAGAGCAUCCUGAGGCUUCUGAACCAGGGGGACCGGAACGAGAGCAGGGAGGUGGAGAAGAACCUCAGGGAAAGGUUCCUGUCUGCUCCUCCUGUCUUCAGACAGACCAGGAAGGUCUGCAGCUUCUUCAAUUGUGACUCCAGUUACUCUACAAAACCUACAUGCUGCAGAUGCAACUGCCAGAUGGGUAAGGCCUACCAAGGAGACUGCUCUGAUGCCUCCAGUCAGGAGGAAGAUUUAGAGUCGUAUGCUCAGGGACACAAGAAAAAGCACGGGACCAAGAGUCCAUGUCAAGGCAGUCUCUCUAGUGCCAAGGGCUCCCAGGGGGACAGUCGGAGAGGGGGCCACACUGCAGAGCUCAACGGUCCAGCAGAGAGGAGGAAGAGCUGUACACUGAGGAGCAGCCAGGAGGCUGAACAGCAUCAGGCCGCUGAGAAGAGAAGCCACGCAGUCGCUAAGACGAAGAGCAGAGGCCUGCCAGCAGACAGGGACAAGGGAAAGGUGAAGGGUGCCGCCUUUGUAGCCAACGGCAGGUUGGUACCAGCUCUGUCACCUCAGAGGAAAGAUGGAGGUUCUGGUCCAGAUACGUUUGGUGAAACAUCAUCAGAAAGCUACAGCUCUCCAUCCAGCCCUCAGCACCGAGGACCAGAGAGCCUGGACAGUGAGGACGACAACAACAAAGAUACCGACAGCCACUCUGAUGACUCCAGCAAAGGUCCGGGCCCUGGCAUGUUCUUUGCCCAUCAGACUGAUCCAACUGCAGCAGGAGCCAUUCCCUCUGUUCACCCCCUGUCUUCCAGCAACCACCAGGCCCAGAUGGAGCCGCUCUGCCCAGAGACCAGCACAGAUUUCCCCCCUCUCUCCUUCAUGCGCUCUCUGCCCUAUGUGCUCCCGAACGGGACUGCUGACUCUCCACUUCCACUGGUCCCUCAUCCCGGCCAAAGCAUCGUCCCCGAUGGGAAGCCCUCGUCUGGGACCCUGAUGAUGCAGAUGCCCCUAGUGCCUCCAGGACCUGGAAUUGUGGGAGACCCGGAGAAGAGGGACAUACUUCCGACCUUUGGGAUAGCACCUAUUGGUCUCCACCCUUCAGGAAGUCCUGCUGUGCAGCCUCUGGUUCAGAGGUUCAAAACACCAAUGUCUCACAGCCAAGGUGGCACUGACGGAGCUUCAGGGAGUGGUUCUGCUCCUGCUGCCCCGCAGGCUUCACACCAAGCUCCUGUGAGAGCCAUCAGUAUCAUGUCUCCUGGCCCCACAUCCUACUCCUCUCCUCUUCAGCAGUCUCUGCCCUGCCAAGAUCCGGCCAGCGUCACCUCGGGCCUGGCCUCCUCUCUGCCACAUGUGGAGACUUCACAUGCCAAGCACCCCGGCUUAACCUUACCAUCUGGCCUGCCUUCUCCCUACACCCUGCCCCCGGUCCCCACCUCUGUCAUGCCUACUGUAGGAGCACCUGCGGCCAGUGGAAUAGCUCCAUCUCCUGGACAUGUACAAGCAGCUGUUCCUCCAGCUGUGCCCACCCACACCCCUGGACCCGCUCCCAGCCCCAGCCCAGCACUUACUCACAGCACCGCACACAGCGACUGUACAUCCUACAGCAACAGCAGCGCUUCCUGUGGAAGUGCUCCUGUUGCCCCGGGCAACCUUGUUAAUCCUCAGCAAACCCAGCCGCAACAGUUGCCCCCCCAGCAGCCAACACCACCACAACAGCCACCACCGCCGCCGCCACCGCAGCAGCAGCAGAUGGGCUGUGGGACCUGUGGCUGUCACAACAACUGCGGUGGCCGAGGCAGCGUCAGUAACAACAACAGCGUCAGUGUCCCCGGCUGCCAGGCACCUUUAUUCUUCUCCCACCAGAUGGCAGCAGCAGCAGCGCGGCAGGUGUUCAGCGUCCAACCGCCUCUCUUCCAGCUCACAAGCCUGUGCAGUAACAGUUACCUCACCCAGGCCCAGCCUCCUCACCAGGCCAACGGCGCUGCCACCCUGCCCCCCUUCUUCCCCAGCGCUCCACCCCCCGCACACCCGUCCCCCUACGGCCCCCUCCACACUCACUCUCACAGUCACGCAGACGUGCCAUCACAUAUGCUGGGCACCCAGGCGGCAGCGGUGGCGGCCGCCGCAGCUGCAAACUACAACCUCCAGCAGCAGAUGGCGCCGGCGGCGUCGUUCUGCCACCGUGUCUACCAGCAUGUGUACCCAAAUCACCUGGGGAUGCUGCCUGCUGCUGCACUGGGGGGAGGUGGAGUCAAUAAGAAGAGUGGCAAUGUGUCCUGUUAUAACUGUGGUGUGAGUGGCCACUACGCUCAGGACUGCAACCAACCCACCAUAGACUCCACACAGCAAGGUAGUGCAGCUACACGGAACAGGGACAAACAGAGGACCCCUUAGUUUUCCUCCCCGAGAACCCCCAAACAGUCUUUGGCAUCAGAUGCCACUUUUCCACUGCACGGCACGUUCCUCUGUACUCACUGUGUUUGGUUUUACAUUGACAAAAGUUAUGGAUAGUACCUGGUACUUUCUUUUUGGUACCACCUCGGUUUAGAUUACAAGAGAGCUGAGCUGAUACUAGAAGGAGGAGUUAAAACACUGUACACAAUUGAUCACUAGUGAUGGCCAAAUGAAGCCUCAUGAAGCAUUUUCUUUAUUUCAUGAGCCCACUAGAUGGCGCUUUUUGUUCAACAAAAGGUUGAAAGCACACUGAAUUGCCAUUCUUUGAGCGUCUCUCUUUAAACCAUGAGCGCCAUCUAGUGGGCUCAGAAAAUAAAGAAAAUGCUUCAUGAGGCUUCAUUUGGCUAUCACUGCUGAUCACUAGUGCAACAUGGGACUUCCUGUACAACCAUGCAAAACAAUCCGCCGAACAAUUGAAGUUGAGUCGAAGUAAAAGGAUUCACUAAGUGUCUCUUUGAGGACGAUGUCGUGGCAGUUUCACACGGCAGCACUGUCACAAUCAGCUCAGAACCCCUCCCACACUGAGGGGGUACGAUCUGGUACCAAAAGUGUGUUGAGCUGAACUUAACAGUGGAAAUUCGGCAAGAGACUCCCAACGUUUUACAUUUUAUAGUUUCAGCUCUGGUGGGUCACCUCAGUCCAGGUUCUAAGUGAGCUGAGGCGAUACUAGAAGGUGGAGUUUAAACACUGCAGACCACUGAUUGGUCAGAGAGAACCGUCAAAAGCUCAGCGCAGGACUUCCUGCGUCCUUCCAUUUUAAAAAAAGCCAAGCUACCAUCUGCGAUGUUUAAAUUCUCUUGACCAAGAUUUUAAAAAAUGGCAGCCUGCAAAACUUCGCUAUACACUAAAUACAUAGUACAAUCAAAUAAGAGCAGACGUUCUGUUUGGUUGCUGAUGAAAGAAUCCAGUGUCACGUUAAGCAUGUCGUAGCAGUUUGACGCUGUGUCACCGUGGCAAUCAGCUGAGAAUCCCGCCUACACUCAGGGGUUACUCUCUGGAAAACAAAAUAGAGAAACGGAGCUGGUACCAAAAGUGAGUCAGGUCAAGUCGAGCCGUGCAGUGGAAAUCAGAAAUCACUGUUUAUCAUUUCGCACCCUUUGGGACAGUCUCGUCCACUCUGUGUGGGGCGGUGUCGGAUGAUUCCCUUGGAAAAGUUUAGGGAAGCAGCUGUGUGCAGCACUUAGGGGAACUUCCUCCUUUAAAUCUGUUUUUUUUAAAACACACACAUAUGAAAACACUUCUGAUAAAUCUGACUUAGUGUUCUGAGUGCAGUGUCUCCUUUGCCUUAUUUUGGUGUGCCAAGCUGUAAUGUGUGUGUUACUGCCCCCUGUGGCUGACGGCUGUAAGACACCCACUGCAAAUGUUUUUUGGGACAUUUUUUUCUGCCUCCGCCACAAGUCAGUCCCUCCAGGAUUCCACUUUUCUUUUUUUUUCAUGGCCUAAAAUGCCAAAUUUCAUUUUAGCUUUUUUUUUUUAAUUGCAAUGUUUUUAGUCUAUUUAUUAUUUUCAUUAUUUUUGCAAUGAAACAGCAGAAGCAUGUGGAAAUAACACAAAUAGUUGGGUGUUUUCGCCACUAACCCUGCACAUAUUUAUAUAUUUUGAAACUCACUUGAUUCUUUCAGCAUGUGCGAUAGACCUGGAUACAACAGCCUCAAUCAUGCUGAUUUCUCUCAUCUGUCGAGUGUGUUUUGCAGCAGUUAAGUGUUUGUCAAUUGAUGUCGUUUGUGUUUCACCACAAAGCACCCGGUGUAAAUCUGUUUACCUCUGCUCUUGUGCAGAACAUUAAGGAAUUGCCUUGUAUGGUCUUCAGGAGUAAGCUUUGUUGGCAAGUGUGUAACGUUCAUGUGGCAGGAGUCAUCUUCACAACCACAUAACGAGGAAGUGAGUUUGGUGACGUUAUUCGGGGAACGGCUAUGAUUGGUGAAACUCAAGUUGCACAGAAUUCACAGGGAUUGGUUGAAUUUGUGUUAAUCAUUGCGACUGUGACAUCACAACAUCCUGGAGGGGCUGAUAAGUGGCGGCAGUGCUUGGACUAGUGACACCAAGACGGACCACCUGCACAGCUGCUUCUCUAAGCUUCUCUAUGGGAAGCACGUGUCCCACACGGUGGCUGACACAGUCCCAGUGUUACUACUUAACUUUGCACAUGCAGGUCAAAACUGUCGCUGAAAUGAAGUAAAGGCAAACCACUGGAAGCCAGGACGGUACGAAACACUCGGCACACGGUUUAAGGUGGCUUCCGGUUAAAGUACGCAGCCUCCCACAUUUCAGAAGCACUUGACAAUGCCGACUGAAGAAGAAGAAGAGAGGAUGAAGAGGAGUUCCUCCGGUCUUGUUUCCACAGCGACGGUCAUCUGUUCUUCCAGGCGCUGUGUGCGAGCAGUGCACUUCAGGAAAAAAGAAAAAAAAAAUCUCAAAAAGAAAGUGACCUGCCAAGGGCUCAGUGGACAAAGCCUAAGUACUUGUGCCUGAGAAAAUCUUGUUCCCAUGGAGAUGAUUCACUGUCUCGUGCACACCGACGGUCCACGUGACUCCCGCUCCCUUCCCUUUUAGUUUGUCUUUGAUAUUUUUGCACUGAGGGGUUGGAAACGAUUAACUUAUUACCUAAUUAUUAGAAAGAGAUUUUGAGGAUUUUGUUUUUACAUGACGGUGGAGACUCGUCUCAGCUGAAAAAAAAAAAGUUCUUAUACACUUCUUUCUAAAACAGCGUAUUUAUGCUUUUUUCCUCAUUAUUACUGUUCACCUAGGAUUUUACUGUCGGACAGAGUUGUACAGCAGUUUUCAACGUUUAAAUCAGAAAUCAAAAAAGUAAUGUUAGCAAAAUGAGUUUUAUGUUUUUCAUUUUCAGUUUUGUUGUAAGGGUUUUGAAUGUACACCUUCUCAUUUAAGGAAUGUGACUGUAUCAAAGUGUAUGGAUCUCAUGCAUUUUUACCACUUGAUAUAUGUUGUGGUUGGAAGGUAAUUGCUGCUUUGUAAUGUUAUUAUUAUUUUCAUUUUUAAGAUAGUUUUACUUGGUGAAAUGCACUAAAGCGACGCAGGAACACAAGUGCACUAAAACAGUUUGCACCACAGCCGAGCAGGUGUGAGGAUUUAUUCAUUUUGUACUCUACAAAUUAAGACAGCAAAACUAAUUGGCUGAUACAGCAUUCACUGUUUUAGUGUGCUUUAGUAUUUCAGGUGUGAAGCAGCUUUUUCUGUUAACACCACAGAGAGGGAGAGAUCUCUGUGUUUUAAAACUACAGAUAGAAAUACAGCAGAAGAGAAACUCAUUCUUGUCUCAUCUCAGUCAGCGAGACAUCCACUACCUGUACAGUUUGGUAUUGCUGGGUGCUGUCUCCAGGAGCCUCUAGAGAGGAUUUAGACAGUUUAGUACCAAAAUGUCAGCUGUUGCUUUCGUCAGUGUUUAGCACACAACUCUGCAGAGCAAGCGUCAAACUAGUGUGGAUUCAUUUAUGAAGGAUAGACAAACAGAAGCAGACAGCACACUUCAAGUUAUACCAACUGAGUCAUCAAGACAUUUCCAUAGGGAAACACUACUCUCCUACCCUGUUGGUAUAUUAAAGGAACGCUUCAGCUGCAAAAUUAGAAUUUGUAUAUUCAUAACUUACUGCGUUUUAUGUUGGAUUCAUGAAGAAUAGAUUGUUUUUUUCACAUGCCUCCACCGUGAACGGAGAAUCCAAAAAAUUCUUUAUGAACUGAAGUCAUUGGGGUCCAUGUUUAUCAACAGCGAAACUAUUUUAAACGUUGUUUACAAACUCUCACACGACUCGUGCAGUAUAAUCUUAAGUCUUGUUUAUCCUGUCGUGGGCUCAGUGCUUCCCAAACACAUGUAUUUUAACUAAAACGUUAGCCACUCAAGUGUUUUAUAUUGGAAUGUUUUAACGUUUAGGAGGUACUGAGCAUACAACAGGAUAAAUGAGAUUUGGAUUAUACUUCACGAGUUGUGUAAGUGUUUGUAAACUACUAUUUGAGAUAGGUUAGCCAUGCUCAGUACUUCCCAGACACAGGUAUUUUAGCUAAAACGUUACCUGCUUUAAGCUCGUUAAUGCUCAGCGUGCGCUACUUGUAGGGGGAAGUGUUCUAUAUUGGAACAUUUUAGCCAAAAUGUAUGUGUUUAGGAAGUACCGAGCACAUGACAGGAUAAAUGAGAUUUGGAUUCUACUACACAAGUUAUGUAAACUGAUGUUUCCAUAGAACGUCAUCCCCAUUUGCAUGAGUUCAAGAAGAAUGUUAGCCUUUUUGGAUUCUCCGUUCACCGCGGAGGCCUGAGAGAAAAAUGUUUUCUUCAUGAUAUUCAACGUGAAACAAAGUUUGUAAUGAAUAUACAGAUGGUCAUUUUGUGGUUCAAGUAUUCUUUAACUACAAAGUAAAGUGUGUUUUAUAUUUGUACGUUGGAUCACAUCUUUAAGAGCCUGUGUAAGAGCCCACGCUAUACAGCCGCGGGCAAUAACUGACUGUUUCUGUACUUGUUAAUUUAAUGAAUAAAUCUAGUAUGGAUUUUCUUUA